This 322-nucleotide small nuclear RNA is filed under the name Chinchilla lanigera (long-tailed chinchilla). Its description in RNAcentral is "7SK RNA (ENSCLAG00000022034.1)". It matches the Rfam family "7SK RNA". From Rfam's summary of the family: 7SK was discovered as an abundant small nuclear RNA in the mid-70s but a possible function has only recently been suggested. Two independent studies have found that 7SK RNA binds the CDK9/cyclin T complex (known as elongation factor P-TEFb). The record is from RNAcentral. Lineage: Eukaryota; Metazoa; Chordata; Mammalia; Rodentia; Chinchillidae.
GGAUGCGAGGGUGAUCUGGUUGCGACAUCUGUCACCCCGUCGAUCACCCCGUUGAUUUGGCUGAUCCGGCUGGCCAGGCGGGUGUCCCUGUCCUCCCUCGUGGCUCCGUCUGCGUCCCUCCUGAGCAUGUACUCACUGGAAGGGGGUGACCACCCCCAACAGAGGAGGUGGAGGAGGACCGUUCCUCAGUCAGGGUGUGGCAGUAGCGCACUCCCCUGCUGGGACCUCCAAACAGGCUCUCGAAUGAGAACUUAAGUGUUCGUGCUAGAACUGGUGUAUACGCACGCUGCAUCAUCCAUCAGUGAUGAAUAGCUUCAGAGAU